CAACCAGAGAUAAAACAACCACAAUAUCAAAAUUCAGAUGUUCGUGAGCAGUUGAAUUAUCGUACAACAUGGAUGAAACCUAUCGAUGAUGAAGUUUUGAAAGAUUUAAAAACAUUUGAAGUAAAAAAACAAAGAAAGGACUGUAACAUACCAGUCUUCGUGGGCAAGUUGUUUGCGAUUCAUAACUAACGUUGAUCAUCACUGGCAUGAUAAACCUCGUCCACGUCUAUCGCCAUAUAUCAAAGAAGGCAACUAUAAAGAUUAUUUCAUUCAACGUUUUCCCGAACUUCUUUUUCUAGUGCACAAAAUUAUUAGAACGACUAACUGGAAAACAAGACCUAAAAUGCUAAAACAUUUUAUCUGAAACAUAAAUCCUGUGAAAAUUGAAGGAAGUCAAUGGAAAGAAAAGUGAAGAUAUUAUUGACAGCCGUAAUCUUGAUGGAAAAUGAAGUAUAACAAACUCUUAACUAAUCAUGUGCCACUUUCUAAUUGUUAAUUUGAGCAACGACCAAGAAAUUGGUUCAUAAAGUCAUAUCAAGAAUUACUUGCAUGUAUAGUCACUGAAGUAUGGAUUAUUAAUAAACUUAAAUUCAAUCAUAUAUGUAUGUAAAGGAAGGACGUGAAUGCAUGAAAAGCAAUUAGGGAAAUGUGUGUAUUAAUUAUAGUCGUAGAGCAUCUUGCAAAUAAAUGUAAUGUUUGUCAUAUACUUCGUCAUAAAAGUUGAAUAUGUUAA
Molecule: long non-coding RNA, 733 nt
Organism: Xenia sp. Carnegie-2017
Lineage: Eukaryota; Metazoa; Cnidaria; Anthozoa; Malacalcyonacea; Xeniidae
Exons: 2
Source: RefSeq, a predicted model, not a curated record